Macaca mulatta (Rhesus monkey) is the source of this 3369-nucleotide non-coding RNA. The record is from RefSeq and is a predicted model, not a curated record. NCBI's taxonomy places the organism in Eukaryota, Metazoa, Chordata, Mammalia, Primates, Cercopithecidae.
GUAAAUGGAAAACCACUGCAGGUUUCUAAGCAGGAGAGGAACAAAAUCAAGUUUGCACUAUGCAAAGAUCAUUCCAGCUACAGCGUACAGAAUGGAAUAAAGAGAUGGAAGGGUGAAUGUGAGGAGAUGGGUUAAGAGGCUGUUGCAGUGAGGGGUGUGAGAGAUGAUGGUGGCUGGGCCCCAGGUGGUGGCAGUGAAAAGGAGAGAAAUGAGCGUAUUCAAGAGCCCUUUAGGAAGGGAACCCUCAGUUCAUCCUCCAAACAGCAGCAAGAUUUGGAAGGUAAGUCAGAUAACAACUGUCCUCAAUUUAAAUCCUUUCAAAGGCUUCCUGGUGCCCUUGGGAUGAAAUCUGGAAUCAUUUCCAACAAGACUGUCUCCGGGACUCUCUGGUGUCUACAUUGCCAGCCCCUGGCUCUCUGUUUCCAUGUUUUUCAUGUGUUAGUUCUUCUGCCUGAAGCCCUCUUCUGACAACUUCCACACUGAGGGCUCCUCCUUGUUUUUUAAGCCUCAGCUUAAAUAUACCCUCCUCCCAGCAAACUUCCUGGACCAUCCCAUCUAUAAAAGCCAUUCAGAAAGAGGAAAAGUUGAAGACAGAAGCUGAAUAAAGAAGUCUUUCAAUGGAAGAUACCUGCAAUGAAACAACUCUUGCCUUCUUUUUAAAAACACUUCUAGAAAUGGGGGGAAAAAAUGAAGAAACAGAUGGAGAAGGUGUCAGACUCUAACACUCUCAAGCCAGAAUAUAGAGUACAGUAUAAUGAAACAACAAAGUCCACUUGCUAAGUCUUAGCAAACAUUUCUGAAAACAUCCAUUAGCCUCUUUUUCCUUUGAAUAAGUGACUGUUCUGCCAGAGUGUUGCUUCUUAGCUGGACAUUUUACUUCAACAAAGAGAAAGAAAACCCUCCUUUUACCAUCUUAACAGAAUCAAGACAUUAAUGGGAUCAAAUUUUCAUGGUCCAGAAGGAUUCCAAUAACUGAUUUUCUGUCCUCAGCUGUGUAAGGGAAUUCACCAUGUCUAUUUGUUCAUGCGUAUUAUAAACAUUUUCAACAUCUUUUGUGAAAAUUUCAUUAUAACCAGCUAAGGGCAUUGGUUUUUCAAACCUCUGGAAGUGUUAAGAAGAGUUUGGGUAGACUCUCUUCUGAAUAAAAGAAUGAUUACUCUGAUCGUUCUUCCUAAGGAAUAUUUUAAGAUUAUGAAUGCAUUGUAUCAUGUGCAUUUAACUCAACUCUACUUUUUUAUGAGCAUCUAGUGGCUCUUAAAAACACAAUAAAAUUUGAUCUAAAAGUCCACAAAAACUCAGAUAAGAGAAAAUUACCUAUUUCUGAAUCCUCUUUGGAGAAUGUUUUAGAGAGUCUGAAAAAGGACAUUGAUGGAUUCCUGCAGAAGGAAGUUUAAGAAGUAAUAAUAUCUGAGCUGGGUGGAAAAAAAACAAAAAGAUGCUGAAGUGUUUCCAGUGUAUUCUGCUGAUGCUUUAAGUUCUGCACUGUAGUAAUUGGAAUGGGAUUUCAUUACGAGAAGUUUUUACCCAAUCACACCAACUGCAUCCUUGUAAGAGUGAUGGAGACUAAGCGUACCUGUGAUGACCAUUACCAUAAGUCUCCAGGGAAACAACUCAGGAAGUUAUCAAAGCUAUAAAAGUAUAGAGGAAAAGCAUAACAUGCUGCCAACAAGCCCAACACUCCAAAAUACUUGAAGCUUUAAAAUAAAAUAAAUAAAUAACUUACAGAAUUCCACCUAAACAAUCAUGAAGAAAAAAGAGGCUUUCUUUUGAAGAUUUUAAUACUACAAACAACACAUUUCCCUUGAGAAAUAUUACUCAUACUUCUUUUUUCUUCAAAGAAUAUACAGAUUUAGUAAGAUUGUCAAGUACAGUGCAGUUGAAAGUUUAAACAGUUAAAAUUAGCCAUCAAAGCAGAUAAUUCUUUCUAUUAUAAGUUAUUUAAAUAUAAGAAUUAUUUGUGCUUCUUUUGUGUUUCUAUUUCAGCUUCCAGAGGUGUGUGUCUAAAUAAUACUUGGACAAGACAUUUAAUAGAAAUCUGUUACAUACGAUGGCAAAAUUCUCAACUCCAAGCUCUACACCUGGGAUGCACAUUUUCCUUCUUGUCCAGAGCUGUCUUUGAAAUUCGUAGGCUCUUCAUGCAAUGUGAUAAGUGGUUUAAGGGCAAAAGGUGGCGUUAGCUGGUGGAUCUUUUUUCUAGCCUUUUUAGUGGUCUUCAGGCCAACAAUCUGAGAGGCAGUCUCCUGUUUUAAAGUUCCUGCUUAGUGAGGAAAGAUGGAGUGCCCUAAAUCUUUACUCCCAUAGGCAAGGCGAUGUGCAGACCAGUACAGCAGCCUCAAGCCUGCCUUCUUCAGAGCAGGACUUUCCCAGCUUCUGCCAUAUUUCCCUCAGGGCUUAACGGCAUUGGUCAAGCCUAAACCACUCUGGUUCUAGCUAGAAUUGACCAACAGCGGACCAAGAACAUCUGGUUUGUACCUCCUAACUUGACUUACUAUGUGAGGUAAGAAAACCGAAGUUAACUAUUGCUAGCAGAGUCCAAAGACAAAUGAGAGAACAAAGGUGAGAGAGGUAAUUUUUAAAACUUCAACUAGCAGGUGGUUCUGAGUAUUUAUUUUAUAGUAAAUACAGCAGACUCCUGUUGUCUGCCUGACCCACAUCUUCAGCAGAUCCGAAGCUCUGCUCUUGAUGGUCAAGGAAGGCAGAGGCCCUCUUCUCUCCCAGAAAAGAGAGAGAACCCUGCCUAAGGAAGAGGGAGGAGGACAAGGACAGAUCUGUACAUCCCUGGAACUCUCUGAGCCCAGAGUUCAUUCCUUCUCCAUUUUUAGAGUAUUCUUCCUCUUUAAAUAUGCAUAUUCUAUCCUCAGUUCCUUUGUUCCCACUCCAAUAACUCUCCUCGGGAAAAGUCUGAACCCUUAGCUCCAAUGAUCAGGGAGGAUUCAGUUUUUGUGAAGGCAGAAAUUUACACAAUUUUGAAAAAGAACGCAAAGUUGCCAAUACGAAAUUAGGUAUGAAAGUGAAGGUUUACUAAGAAUAAGAAAAGAAAACACAACACAUUAGUGGGUAGGUCAUGGCUGGUCCUAAGUGCUACCCACCAGGCCCCUUCUACCAUCAGAGGAUUUAGACCAGGGCUGCCACUGCUACCAAAACUACGACGCCUACCCUCACUCCCACUGUAUUGAUUUCCAUUUUCACACAAUUGUGCUUUAGAAAAUUUCCCCUUUUGCAAAUAAGGUGCCUAGUCAGUUGAGAGAUUUAACUAAUGCUUAUGGGUCUUUUGUGCAAUAUUUCAUUAAGCUGUUGCAUAUCCUGUUUGAUAACUACAAAAGGAAAUGAACACAGUUAUUACAAUUAAAAAAAAAUCUUUCGGACAUA